UGGUUCUGGCAUNGAUGAAGAACGCAGCGAAAUGCGAUAAGUAAUGUGAAUUGCAGAAUUCAGUGAAUCAUCGAAUCUUUGAACGCAUAUUGCGCCCUUUGGCAUUCCGAAGGGCAUACCUGUUCGAGCGUCAUUACACCCCUCAGAGAUACCUCUGACGUUGGGCAAUGCCUGGAGAGGCAUGCCUCAAAAUCAGCGAUGGUGAUAUUCAACUACAGACGCACAAAUGUCGUCUAGCUGGUGGAAUGUUGUCAGUUCAAUUGAUGAAUAUCUAAAUGUUGACCUCGGAUCAGGUAGGAAUACCCGCUGA
Molecule: unclassified non-coding RNA, 310 nt
Filed under: uncultured fungus
Lineage: Eukaryota; Fungi
Description: partial contains 5.8S ribosomal RNA and internal transcribed spacer 2
Rfam family: 5.8S ribosomal RNA (bases 1-133)
Source: RNAcentral